This 465-nucleotide ribosomal RNA is filed under the name Vreelandella stevensii. RNAcentral describes it as "partial 16S ribosomal RNA". It matches the Rfam family "Bacterial small subunit ribosomal RNA", at positions 338 to 795 of the family's 1533-position model. Lineage: Bacteria; Pseudomonadati; Pseudomonadota; Gammaproteobacteria; Oceanospirillales; Halomonadaceae. The record is from RNAcentral.
CCUACGGGUGGGCAGCAGUGGGGAAUAUUGGACAAUGGGCGAAAGCCUGAUCCAGCCAUGCCGCGUGUGUGAAGAAGGCCUUCGGGUUGUAAAGCACUUUCAGUGGGGAAGAAAGCCUUGGGGCUAAUACCCUCGAGGAAGGACAUCACCCACAGAAGAAGCACCGGCUAACUCCGUGCCAGCAGCCGCGGUAAUACGGAGGGUGCGAGCGUUAAUCGGAAUUACUGGGCGUAAAGCGCGCGUAGGCGGUCUGAUAAGCCGGUUGUGAAAGCCCCGGGCUCAACCUGGGAACGGCAUCCGGAACUGUCAGGCUAGAGUGCAGGAGAGGAAGGUAGAAUUCCCGGUGUAGCGGUGAAAUGCGUAGAGAUCGGGAGGAAUACCAGUGGCGAAGGCGGCCUUCUGGACUGACACUGACGCUGAGGUGCGAAAGCGUGGGUAGCAAACAGGAUUAGAUACCUAGUAGUC